CCUCUGUUGCUUUGGCGGGCCGCGGUCCUCCGCGGCCGCCCCCCUCCCCGGGGGGUGGCCAGCGCCCGCCAGAGGACCAUCAAACUCCAGUCAGUAAACGAUGCAGUCUGAAAAACAUUUAAUAAACUAAAACUUUCAACAACGGAUCUCUUGGUUCUGGCAUCGAUGAAGAACGCAGCGAAAUGCGAUAAGUAAUGUGAAUUGCAGAAUUCAGUGAAUCAUCGAAUCUUUGAACGCACAUUGCGCCCUUUGGUAUUCCGAAGGGCAUGCCUGUUCGAGCGUCAUUACAACCCUCAAGCUCUGCUUGGUAUUGGGCACCGUCCUUUGCGGGCGCGCCUCAAAGACCUCGGCGGUGGCGUCUUGCCUCAAGCGUAGUAGAACAUACAUCUCGCUUCGGAGCGCAGGGCGUCGCCCGCCGGACGAACCUUCUGAACUUUUCUCAAGGUUGACCUCGGAUCAGGUAGGGAUACCCGCUGAACUUAAGCAUAUCAAUAAGCGGAGGAAAAGAAACCAACAGGGAUUGCCUUAGUAACGGCGAGUGAAGCGGCAACAGCUCAAAUUUGAAAGCUGGCUCCUUUGGAGUCCGCGUUGUAAUUUGUAGAGGAUGAUUCGGCAAGGGCUCCCGCCUAAGUCUCCUGGAACGGAGCGUCAUAGAGGGUGAGAAUCCCGUAUGCGGUGGGCUGCCUAAGCCAUGUGAAUCUCCUUCGACGAGUCGAGUUGUUUGGGAAUGCAGCUCUAAAUGGGAGGUAAAUUUCUUCUAAAGCUAAAUACCGGCCAGAGACCGAUAGCGCACAAGUAGAGUGAUCGAAAGACGAAAAGCACUUUGGAAAGAGAGUUAAAAAGUACGUGAAAUUGUUGAAAGGGAAGCGCUUGCAGCCAGACUUGUCCGCAGUUGCUCAGCCGGUCUCCUGACCGGUGUCCUCUUCUGCGGCCAGGCCAGCAUCAGUUCGGGCGGUCGGAUAAAGACCUCGGGAAUGUA
Molecule: ribosomal RNA, 979 nt
Filed under: fungal endophyte
Lineage: Eukaryota; Fungi
Description: eukaryotic LSU rRNA
Rfam family: Eukaryotic large subunit ribosomal RNA (bases 447-979)
Source: RNAcentral